This 717-nucleotide long non-coding RNA is filed under the name Ricinus communis (castor bean). Its description in RNAcentral is "long non-coding RNA (RCOM_LNC002867)". Lineage: Eukaryota; Viridiplantae; Streptophyta; Magnoliopsida; Malpighiales; Euphorbiaceae. The record is from RNAcentral.
AGGUUCUAACCUCCUAGCAAAUUCUUACUGUCUAAUUCCAUUUGGGUUUGAAUUUCUUAUAAAGUAAAUGGCGGGUAAUUGGAGAUUAUGAUUGGCAAUAUUAUCUGCUGUCUAAAUAUGUAAUGGCUUGGGAAUUAGGUAGGUCUCACUUAUUCAUUGUGCAAUCAACUUUCUGGUAAAUGUGACAGUGUAUGAGCAGUUAGCCAGUAUUAUUGACCUGCAACUACUCACGCCUUUAGCUUGCAGUAAUCCAGUCUGUGGCUUUACAUUUGAUUAACUAAUUGAGAUGUAGCACCUUAAACAAGCCAUUCUGUUUAUCUGUUGUCUAAAUAUGUAAUGGCUUGGGAAUUAGGUAGGUCUCACUUAUUCAUUGUGCAAUCAACUUUCUGAUAAAUGUGACAGGUAUGAGCAGUUAGCAGUAUUAUUGACCUGCAACUACUCACGCCUUUAGCUUGCAGUAAUCCACUCUGUGGCUUUACAUUUGAUUAACUAAUUGAGAUGUAGCACCUUAAACAAGCCAUUCUGUUUAUUGCCAAAAAAACAAUGAUACCCUCGACUCCGAAUUAUAACUAUAUUUCCCAUGUCCAUGGGGAUUCUCUUGGAUCAGCUCUUCGCUAUUUAUUCAGUAAAUUGCUGUCUCUCUUUACCCUCGUAGGUCUUUUCUAUCGCUGUUUUUUAAGUAGGUGGGAAGGGUUAUUGUCUUGUGUUUUCCAGGUG